UCGACCGACAGGUGAACCGAUAUCAGUUUAACCAGCCUCUGCGCCCGCUUUGCCUCUCGGUGACGUCAGGUGGCGGAUCUCUCUUAACAGGGAAACUCCUGGCUCCCAGUACGCCAAGGAACUGUAGUCAAUCGGGACGGACUGAGAGGAAGACCCCGACGGUGAGCACCCGCUUCGCAACUGAACCGGACAUCACACUGCAUACGUAUGACUCUCAGCAACGGAUAUCUCGGCUCUCAUAUCGAUGAAGAAUGUAGCAAAAUAUGAUACUUGGUGUGAAUCACAGAAUCCCGUGAGCCACCAAGUCUUUAUACGCAUGUUACGCCGGAGGACAUCGAGUCAAGGGCACACCACCCAUCGCUCCCCCCAUUCGAUCCAGACGCGGAGAUAGGCCGCCCGUGCCAAAGACGAUCUUCGUACGGGGUCGGGCCAAAUAGGGGAACGCUAUGAGGUUGGAUGCGACGAGUGGUGACCGGAGCAUAGCUGGGAACGUCGUGCCAUCCCAUGUCGUGCUGCUUGGAAAGUGAGUCAUGGAUUGCAAGCCGCCGAUACGAUGUGAGCGGAUCGGUGUGCCGGCUCUCGAACGUUGUGCC
RNAcentral lists this ribosomal RNA (593 nucleotides) under Calycanthus floridus (eastern sweetshrub). Its description in RNAcentral is "eukaryotic LSU rRNA". The stretch from base 210 to 365 matches the Rfam family "5.8S ribosomal RNA". Lineage: Eukaryota; Viridiplantae; Streptophyta; Magnoliopsida; Laurales; Calycanthaceae. The record is from RNAcentral.